This 3023-nucleotide ribosomal RNA is filed under the name Hadesarchaea archaeon B3_Hades. RNAcentral's name for it is "23S ribosomal RNA". It matches the Rfam family "Archaeal large subunit ribosomal RNA". Lineage: Archaea; Methanobacteriati; Hadarchaeota (SeqCode); Hadarchaeia (SeqCode). The record is from RNAcentral.
CGUCUGGGGGAUGGCUCGGCUCGAGCGCCGAAGAAGGUCGUGGCAAGCGGCGAAACGCCCGGGCGAGGUGCAGGCAGCCCUUGAACCCGGGAUUGCUGAAUGGGACUUCCUGGCGGGGGGUAACCCCCGUCGCUCGCGGCAGCGAGUGGGAACCCCGGGAAUUGAAACAUCUUAGUACCGGGAGGAGAAGAAAGCAAUCGCGAUGUCGGGAGUAACGGCGAGCGAAACCGACUUAGGGCAAACCGAACCUGGUGGUGAGAGCCACUGGGGAUGUGGAGUUGUAGGACUUCCUCCAAUCUCUCGCGCGGAAAGCUGAAACGGUUGGAAAAUCGUGCCUUAGAGGGUGAAAGCCCCGUAAGCGUAACUGCGCAGGGUACGAGGGGGAGUAUCCUGAGUAGGAUGCCUUGAAACUGGUGUCCGAAGCUGGGAGGCAUCAACUCCCAACCCUAAAUACGACUCGAGACCGAUAGCGGACGCAGUACCGCGAGGGAAAGCCGAAAAGUACCCCGGAAGGGGGGUGAAAAGUGCCUAAAACCAGGCGGCGAUUGUUGGGUACGGCUUAAAAGAGUUGAUCCUCCCCGAAGGAAGCCGUCGCGAGGCGGUGGUACGAGGGGAGAGGAUCGGGGUCGUACCGUCCGUCUAGAAUCACGGGCCAGGGAGUUCAUCGUCGUGGCGAGGUUAAGGAGUUCAACUCCGGAACCAAAGCGAAAGCGAAGGUCCGCAGCCCGAAAGGGCAAGGGACUGGGUGUGAAUAGCGCCCGGAGUCACGGCGGUGAGACCCGAAACCGGGCGAUCUAGUCCGGGGUAGGCUGAAGCCGAGCUUUGCUCGGUGGAGGGCCGAACCGGUCUUGAUGUGCAAUUCGGUCGGAUGACCUUGGGCUAGUGGCGAAAGACCAAUCAAGCCCGGUGACAGCUGGUUCCUCCCAAAGCUGGCCGCAGUCAGGCCCAGCGCGAGGCAGCCGAUGGUGUAGAGCACCGAUUGAUGAGACAUGGGGGGAAACCCCCGGCUCGUUUGUCGAACUCCAAAGCUGUCGGCGUCGAAGACCGCUGGAGACAGGGUGCGGGGGGUAAGCUCCCGCUCCGAGAGGGGAAAAACCCAGACCGGGGUUAAGGCCCCUAAAUGCCGGCUAAGUGUUAACCUUAAAGGGCGUCCUCGUCCUCAGACAGCGGGAAGGUAGGCUCAGAAGCAGCCAUCCUUUAAACAACGCGUAACAGCGGACCCGUCGAGGGUGGGGGCCCCGAAGAUUCACGGGGCUAAGCCGGCUGCCGAUACCUCGGGGCAGCCGAAGUUUAGUAGGCUGAUCCGGUAGGGAGGCGUCCGGCGUGGGCGGAAGCUCGGGCGUGAGCUCGGGUGGACCGCGUCGAAAUGAGGAUCCUGGCGGUAGUAACAGCAUAGCUGGGUGAGAAUCCCAGCCGCCGAAGGGGCUCGGGUUCCUCGACAAUGAUCGUCAGUCGAGGGUUAGUCGGUCCUAAGGUGGCCCUCAACUAGAAGCCAUCGAAAGGGAAUCCGGUUAAGAUUCCGGGACCACCCAGGUACCUGUGGUAACGCAAGCUCAGCUUCUGACGCUCUGGGGUAGGUCGAGUGAGGUCGUCGCUUCAUUUAACCGUUCAAGUCCGGGGAGUUCCGUAAUGGAGAGAACCGGACGAAGGCGGGAAUAGCCUGCCGUUAGGUGGGUUCGGCCGAUCUCUGGAGCCCGUGAAAAGGGAGCUGGGAAAUGGGACCCUGGGUGACCGUACCUAGAUCCGACACAGGUGCCCCUAGGUGAGAAGCCUAAGGCGUAUCGGGAGACACCAGGCUAGGGAAUUCGGCAAAUUGGCCCCGUAGCUUCGGUAGAAGGGGUGCCUGCCUCGCGAGAGGCAGGUCGCAGUGACCAGGGGGGGCCGACUGUUUAAUAAAAACGUAGCUAACUGCGAGAGCGAAAGCUUGAGUACAGUUAGUGAAUUCUGCCCAGUGGCGGUACGUGAACGCCCGGUUCAACGGGUAGAAGCGCCGCUAAACGGCGGGGGUAACUAUAACCCUCUUAAGGUAGCGUAAUACCUUGCCGCUUAAUUGGCGGCUUGCAUGAAGGAAUCAACGAGCCCCCCACUGUCCCAGUCUGGAACCCGGUGAACCCACUGGCCUGCGAACAUGCAGGGGAUUCCCGAAGGGAAACGAAGACCCCGUGGACCUUUACUGCAGUUUGUCGUUGGGGCACGGUUGCGGGUGCAGAGUGUAGGCGGGAGCCAUCGAAGCCGGGUCUCAGGAUCCGGUGGAGGCGCCAAUGUAACACCGCCCUCUUGCGAUUGCGUUUCUAACCGCGCGAGCGAGACAGCGACAAGUGGGCAGUUUCGCUGGGGCGGCAGGCCCUCGAAAAGAUAGCGAGGGCGCCCAAAGGUCGGCUCAGGCGGGUCAGAAAUCCGCCGUGGAGGGCAAGGCCAAAAGCCGGCUUGACUGUGAGCUCACUACCAAGGCUCGUAGAGGCGAAAGCCUGGCCUAGCGAACCUCGAUGUCCUUCUUGAUGAGGGCUCGAGAUGACAGAAAAGGUACCCCGGGGAUAACAGAGUUGUCGCGGGCGAGAGCUCCUAUCGACCCCGCGGUUUGCUACCUCGAUGUCGUUUCUUCCCAUCCUGGCCGUGCAGCAGCGGCCAAGGGUAGGGUUGUUCGCCCAUUAAAGGGGAACGUGAAAUGGGUUUAGACCGUCGUGAGACAGGUCGGAUGCUAUCUUUCGGGAAUGUUGGGUGCCUGAGGGUAAGGUGGCCCUAGUACGAGAGGAACAGGCUGCCGGCGCCUCUAGUUUACCGGUUGUCCGACAGGGCAUAGCCGGGCAGCCACGCGCCAGUCGAUAAGGCCUGAAAGCAUCUAAGGCCGAAGCGACUCUCGAAAAUAGGCACCCAUUCUUGGUGGUUCCGCAAGGGACGCUCGUCCUGGUGACAGGGCGAGAUCCGAGACGAGAGCUGGGGCUAGAAGACCCCGUUGAUAGGCCGGGGGUGUAAGCACGGAGCUUCGGCGACGUGUUCAGCCCGCCGGUACUAAUCGCUCAAUU